Molecule: ribosomal RNA, 581 nt
Filed under: Leuconostoc sp. MF5(2010)
Lineage: Bacteria; Bacillati; Bacillota; Bacilli; Lactobacillales; Lactobacillaceae
Description: bacterial SSU rRNA
Rfam family: Bacterial small subunit ribosomal RNA
Source: RNAcentral
CCUAUACAUGCAAGUCGAACGCACAGCGAAAGGUGCUUGCACCUUUCAAGUGAGUGGCGAACGGGUGAGUAACACGUGGACAACCUGCCUCAAGGCUGGGGAUAACAUUUGGAAACAGAUGCUAAUACCGAAUAAAACUUAGUGUCGCAUGACACAAAGUUAAAAGGCGCUUCGGCGUCACCUAGAGAUGGAUCCGCGGUGCAUUAGUUAGUUGGUGGGGUAAAGGCCUACCAAGACAAUGAUGCAUAGCCGAGUUGAGAGACUGAUCGGCCACAUUGGGACUGAGACACGGCCCAAACUCCUACGGGAGGCUGCAGUAGGGAAUCUUCCACAAUGGGCGAAAGCCUGAUGGAGCAACGCCGCGUGUGUGAUGAAGGCUUUCGGGUCGUAAAGCACUGUUGUAUGGGAAGAACAGCUAGAAUAGGAAAUGAUUUUAGUUUGACGGUACCAUACCAGAAAGGGACGGCUAAAUACGUGCCAGCAGCCGCGGUAAUACGUAUGUCCCGAGCGUUAUCCGGAUUUAUUGGGCGUAAAGCGAGCGCAGACGGUUUAUUAAGUCUGAUGUGAAAGCCCGGAGCUCA